UGGGGAAUAUUGCACAAUGGGGGAAACCCUGAUGCAGCGACGCCGCGUGAUCGAAGAAGGUAUUCGUAUCGUAAAGUUCUGUCCUAUGGGAAGAUAAUGACAGUACCAUAGAAGAAAGCUCCGGCUAAAUACGUGCCAGCAGCCGCGGUAAUACGUAUGGAGCGAGCGUUGUCCGGAAUUAUUGGGCGUAAAGGGUACGCAGGCGGUUUAAUAAGUCGAAUGUUAAAGAUCGGGGCUCAACCCCGUAAAGCAUUGGAAACUGAUAAACUUGAGUAGUGGAGAGGAAAGUGGAAUUCCUAGUGUAGUGGUGAAAUACGUAGAUAUUAGGAGGAAUACCAGUAGCGAAGGCGACUUUCUGGACACAAACUGACGCUGAGGUACGAAAGCGUGGGGAGCAAACAGG
RNAcentral lists this ribosomal RNA (403 nucleotides) under bacterium. RNAcentral describes it as "partial 16S ribosomal RNA". It matches the Rfam family "Bacterial small subunit ribosomal RNA", at positions 355 to 776 of the family's 1533-position model. The record is from RNAcentral.